This 1824-nucleotide ribosomal RNA is filed under the name Triticum aestivum (bread wheat). RNAcentral's name for it is "partial small subunit ribosomal RNA". The record is from RNAcentral. Lineage: Eukaryota; Viridiplantae; Streptophyta; Magnoliopsida; Poales; Poaceae.
AUGGGCAAGGGCAGGAAUAAGAAGAAGAAGGCGCCCGCCGCCGCCGCCCCCUCCCAUGUAGCGCUCAACGGCGACGAGCCGCAGCAGGUGGAUUCGGCAGCGGCCAGCGGAGACGCGAUUCAGCCGCCGAUGCCCAAUCCGGUUGGGGACGAUGAGCCGCCGCCGGAAUCUGCGGCGAUUCCCAACGGAGAACAUGCUGCGCCGCCGCCAGUUGAGGCGGCCGAUGGCGACGAGUCACCGGUGGAUUCUGCGGCAGCGGCCAAUCGAGACCCGUCGACGCCUACAGUUGGCGACGAGAUGCCACCGGAUUCAGCGGCGCCGGCCGACGCGAACCCGCCGCCUUCGAUUGAGGCAGCCAACAGCGGCGAGCCAUCAGCAAAGACGGGGUCGGAGGACCAGGUCCCGAAGGAGAGGCGGGACUCGUCGCCGGAGCAUGAGGUGGAACAACUCAAGGCGCUCAACGGCACGCUCGUUAAGGAGGCGGUGGUGACGCGGGGGCUGGUGGUCACGCUCACCGCGCAAGUCGACCAGUGCUCUGCUGAUGCUAGCGCACUCGCCCAUCUGGAGCCUGUGGUCUUCCGGCCUGCCCUUGUUGCCCCCCUCCAAGCUGCCGCCGAGGAUGGCACGGCGCUGCGCGGGCACAUAGCCGACGACCAGCAAUCGCUCCAGGUCGCGGAGGCGAGGGUGGCUCGCGAGACGGAUGCCAGGGUCGAGGCUGCAGCGCGCUUGGAGGAGGCCCAAGUGGAGAAACUUCAAUUCGAGGAGCUCCUCCGCGGGAAGCAGGCGGCAGCCGCGUCUGCGUCCGAAAAUGUCACCAAAUUGGAAGCCUCUGUUGGUGAACUGGCGGGGAAGAGCACUGAGCUGUGUGCAGAGAAAGGCGAAUUGCAGAAGCAAUUGGGGGAAAUGAGUACCACGGCUCACAGUGUCAAUGCUCUGAAGGCAGAAGUGGAGGGAAACUUCCAUGAUUACAAAAAGAGCACAGAGAUAUGGAGGCAUGAAAUGAAGGAGAAGCUUGAUGAGAAAUCAAAGCAGUUGGACAGCCUGAUAUCCAGUGAGGCGGAAAUGGAGGUGAAGAUCCAGUCUUUGGAAGCGAAGCUUUCGGUGGCCCAGGCUAGGAACAGGGAAAUGGAGUUGGAGAUGGAGACUAGCAAGACAGAGUUAGAUGCUGCGCAGAAGGAGGUGGAGAAGCUCCAGAUCGAUGCUGCAAAUGCCACCAGCAAGUAUAACAUAGUGGUGGCUGACGUGGAUAGUUUCCGCAAUGAGAUUAACGAGAUGAGGAAAACAAAUGAAGCGGCUGCGGCUGCAUUUGCUACUGAGAAGACCAAGUUGGAGAGGGAACUGGAUGGGCUGAAGAGGAGGGUAGAAAAAAUUCAAGCCAAUAAGGACGCUGCCAUGGCCUCUGCCCAUCGGAAAGAUGCUGAGGCUACAAAGCUGAUGGCUAAGCUGAAUGCGCUGAACGGUACCAUUGCGAAUCAACGUGUUCACUGUGAUGAUCUCAAGAAUAAGUAUUCUUCGCUCCUAGCUGAGAAGGAUGCGCUUCUGAAAGCAUUUGGCAAGGAGAAAUCUGAAGGAGACAAGCUGAGGCUGAACCUUGGGGAGCUUGAUAGCUACAAUGCUGAGAAGGACCGUGACAUUGAGGUAUUGAAGGCAGAAGCACUAAACAAGGAAGGACAGAUCGGUAGCCUGAAUGGGAAGCUUGAGGAGCUGCAUCUCGCAGUCGCUGAGGCGCGGCAGAGGGGGAAGAGUAGCGCGUGGACAUGGCUGUGCCCUACCACGACUGUUAUCGCCGCCACUUCCUUUGUCUACGCUGCUCGUAGCCGGUGA